This 119-nucleotide non-coding RNA is filed under the name Synergistales bacterium. RNAcentral describes it as "MoCo sequence". It matches the Rfam family "Molybdenum/Tungsten riboswitch aptamer (Moco RNA motif)". The record is from RNAcentral. Lineage: Bacteria; Thermotogati; Synergistota; Synergistia; Synergistales.
UUUAACAAAAACCUCCGAGUCUGACCGCCUAAAGGGCUUUCCUAUGGCGACAGGCCGAAGGGCGUUCCCGGAAACAGGAGCGCCUCCCGUGUUUGGAAAGGAGGAAGAGAAGGACCGGA